Molecule: long non-coding RNA, 500 nt
Filed under: Mus spicilegus (steppe mouse)
Lineage: Eukaryota; Metazoa; Chordata; Mammalia; Rodentia; Muridae
Description: lncRNA (ENSMSIG00000025278.1)
Source: RNAcentral
UGUUGCCACGGAGAUGACCUCUGACCCCGAAAGCAUGAGUGGCCCCUUUGCGGGUUGCCUUGGUUGCUAUGGCAACUGCAGUAUCCAGGAUCUUGGCGCUGGAGCAACUUGGGAGCAAGGGCUAGGGAACAGCUACUCUGCCCUCUUCUUUCUAGGAUGGGAACAUGGUUGUUCUGUGGAGCCCAGACUGCCCUAUCGAAGAUCCAAGGAAAUAAGUAACAAGUCAAAAACUUUGACAGAUUUGGUACAAAGAAGAAUGCUAGGAACUAGAAGUACAGGAUGGAUGAAUUUCAUGUCUCUUCACUGCGAAGUUUUCAAAGGAGGCUACAUAGGGCCAACAUCAAUUACAUGCCUUGGGCAUCCUUCUGACCCAAUGUUUUUGUAUAGAAAGUUCAUCUUUUGACUUGAAGUUGUCUGUCAUUCAACCUUAUUUGAGUGUUACUAACGUCAUUAAUGUUUUGUAUUUUUCUUAGUUAAUAAAGUAUAAUUGUUUGGCUUCA